CAACAUGCAGCCCAGCCUCAACGACUUCCUCAAGCCCCGCGCUUGCCCGCCCGCCGCCGACGCGCCCUGCGCCAGCCACCAGCCCGAGCUGGACCAGGACCCGACGUGCGACAAUGCGUCAGCGAGCGGGCCGAGCGGCGGGUCGCCGAGCGCGUCGUAGACGGCUUGUUGUCCCGCUCCCACGCCGGCUGGUGGUCCCGCUCGCACGCCGGCGCCGGCGAGCUGCCGCGGACGGGACAGUGAUGUCGUCGCCCGGUGGUGGACGACAACCGGUAUCAUUGGCCGCGAGCCGAGCGAACCUCUCCGAUACGGAUUUUAGAUUGAGAGUCAUUCGUAUGCUAACUAGAGAUAGUCCUUUUUAUUGGCCGUCGGGGAUAAAUUUUAUGCAUAAUAGGUGUUUUCGGCGAGUUAUCGUGUGAUACUGUAGUGUGAUUGUCGAUAAAGCUUGAGCUGUCGUAGUCGGUGAGAAGGGUAAAUCCGCUGUAGAUUCUAAACCGUCGCGAUGUGAUUACUUUGUACUUUUGUAAGCUCAAAUUGUCUCUUUGUGUACAUACCUUAAAUGUUGAGUUGGAGAGUAAUAUUUACCGGGUAAACGACAGAUGAUCACCUAGAGCGGUUGUUUCGUUUCGUUUCUUGUACUACCGUCACGGGAUCAGUGGCCGCCGCCGGUCUGACAGCGAUACUUUAUUGCGAGCGUAACCUUGCUUGGCCGUGUAAUCCGUAGGGCAGACAUAUUCUGUAGUGCAUUAGUGUAUUUAUUGUUGGAACGUAUCACUAACUCAUAAAACUUACGAAGCGUAUGCCUAGUGUUAUUUCAACGAUGAAACUUAGCAGAUGGUACAUUUUUCGCAUUCAUAGGGAGCAUACUUGUAAAUUUUUAUAACUAGCGUAAACUGAUCUCUCGAGAUAAUUUAUAAUGUUUAAUAAUAACUCGGAAUAUUGUAUUUGUAUAAACAAUUCAGAGAAUAUAAUUUUUUUAGAUUUACUACAUUAUAGAUUUUUUUUCGGGCAACUUCUAUAUGUAAUAACCUUUUUUUUAUUGCGGUGUACCUUAUUAAGUCUUAUCCAAACCUGGAUAAAUGUAAUCUAUUGGAUAGCACUGUCGAUGUCCUAAUGUAACGACAUAGUUUUUCGAUAAUAUUGUAUUCUAUAUUCAAUAAAUGAUAUUUCUAUUAUAUAAAAAAAUUGUCAUUGAAAACACUAUGGUUAUUAGUAGUCAUUUAUGAAACGGUGUAUAAAUAAAGCUAUUUUCAUUGUCAUAGUUUUUAAGUACGUAUGCGAACUAAUUUCGUUUUGCACUUCAAUUGGGCAUAAAAACAAAUUAGGCAAAGGUAGUAAACCUUUAACGUAGGAGUAACGAAAUUAUUAUGCGUGGAAUACGUAGUCUCAGCGCGCGACCAUCCGUUUACUUAGACGUGAAUGCGCGCUGACUUACGAAUAGAAGCAUUUGGAACGUAUGCAAGGUAGGUUAAAAAUUAUAGCGUUCUUCAUCGGAAUACUUUCCCUUCUCUACUAAGAUAUUGCUUCGUGAGAAAGGUCGUCUCAUUAAUUUUCCAUUUUCUUUAAAUAUGGAUAUGUCUUUAACGAUAUAAUUGUUGUAUUUGUGUAUUCGGGCGUAUGUGAUGGUAGCUCGAACACCUAAACAGCCUACGUAAUGUUAUAACCUAUCCUUUAGUAGCACGGUCACGAUUCACGUCCUAAUAAUGAUUACAGUUGAUCGAAAGUUUUAAAAGGUUAACAAGUGAAUGUUCGUCGCAAUUUCGACGUUAUAAAUAGUCAAAACAUUGUGAAAGUAACGUAUCGUUACAUUUACAUAAACAUACGCGAUGAUUUUAUCUUUUACAUGUAAUGAAAUGUAUGUGCUAGAUUUUUUUUCUUUUUAGCAUGCACUACUUAGUAUUUCCAAAAUCCUCGUUUUACCUUUGAACCCUGAAACGCAAUGACUUUUAAUUAGCUGUAAAAUUAUUGUAUCUUAAGGGAUGUAUCAUCGCCAUUCGGUGAGCGCGCGGCGCAUCGAUUUGAAAUCACACCUAGUGGAGCUUAGUUGUCGUCAAUAAGGCUAUUGAUUUGCUGACACCUUUAUAUGUCUUGUAAAUAUAUUAUAAUUAUCUUUGUGGUAUGACUCUGAGUGCCGUUUAUCGGUUACCGGGUGGGCGUAGGCUAGGAGGGUGAAGCCGGCGUCUGGUACCGGGCGCUGCGGUCCGGUACCGGUCGUCUGCCGCCCCGUACCGGGCGCCCGCAGCCUGCGACUGCCGGCACCGCUGCGGGCUCGGGGAAGUAGUUUAGAUACGCAUAUUUUUAUUAAGUCUAUCUAAUAUGGAUUUUGUAAUCGACGUUGCUUCUAAAGACCCUCUGUGUAAAAAGAUUAAGACAUACUAGUGACCUGAAUGUAUGAAAAUGAUGUUUAUUGAACUUUAUCCCACUGAAUUCUCACUCUCACGUUUUGCGUGCACAUUUACUACCUUUACGAGAAUUUCCGUAUAUAAAACACAUAGUUCGAAAUGGGGUUAUGACUUAUAAAUUAUUUAAAGUAAAAGGACUUUUUAUUAUUACUAUUACUGUAAUAUUAAAUUUAAUAGUGAGUGAAAUUUGUAUUUUGUUUUAAAAUUGUUUAACUGAAAUUGAAUACAUCAUAACACCCAUAUCGUUGUUAGUUAUGAAUGAAAAUAACAUAAUUAUAAAAGUAAAUAUUAAAUGAAUAGUA
Molecule: long non-coding RNA, 2704 nt
Organism: Cydia fagiglandana
Lineage: Eukaryota; Metazoa; Arthropoda; Insecta; Lepidoptera; Tortricidae
Exons: 2
Source: RefSeq, a predicted model, not a curated record